AGAAGACCUACCUGACAGCAAAGACCAGGAAACAGCAAUUUGAACUCUUAUGGAUAGCCUACAGGCUGCUUUAGGGCUUAACACUGGAAUCAAGAAAGGAGGGGGAAAUCACACCACAUCCAUACAGAUCCACCUCCAGUGGCAACUCUGGUGGUGUUGGAAUUGCUGCUGACCACCACCCUCAACAGGUCUGCACCUACCCAGGAACAUUCAUCGUUCCCCAGCUUGAUUGUGCCUCUUCUGCACUUUGUGAGGCUAGGCUUCGGAAGGAGGUUAAUUGACUGCUGGACUGGUGAUUGACUCUAACAUUUGUUUCCAACUAUACCACCUGAAUCACUGAAAGAUUAGAGUGUGAAGAUACAAAACUGGGAGAGAUCUGUAGUAGAGGCUGAGACUGGGGUAGGGCUAUUUAACUGGG
RNAcentral lists this long non-coding RNA (418 nucleotides) under Canis lupus dingo (dingo). Its description in RNAcentral is "lncRNA (ENSCAFG00020007206.1)". Lineage: Eukaryota; Metazoa; Chordata; Mammalia; Carnivora; Canidae. The record is from RNAcentral.